CUGAAGGCAAUUUUGUCGCUGGGAAAUCUGUUGUGAGUCGAGUCUUUGCUUUGGUGGUUUGGGCAAUAGGCUGAAAAAAUGGGCCAUUAUUAGCGUGUAGCAUGGGCUUUAGUUCGAUUGUUGUGAAUCUGAUUCAAUGCUUCUAAUCUGAUCUUUAAAUGUUGCAAUGCAAGUUGCUGAAGAAAUUUAAUUUGUGUCUCUGGUCUCUCUAUUGCUGUUUCUAGCGUAUACUAAGGAAUGCCAGUGAGGCUGCCCACAAGCUGGCCUGGGGUGCUGCAUUGUUUUACAUUUCUUCUGUUUGAAUUU
Telopea speciosissima is the source of this 306-nucleotide long non-coding RNA. RefSeq lists it as uncharacterized. NCBI's taxonomy places the organism in Eukaryota, Viridiplantae, Streptophyta, Magnoliopsida, Proteales, Proteaceae. The transcript has 2 exons. The record is from RefSeq and is a predicted model, not a curated record.